CAAAGCUGAAACUUAAAGGAAUUGACGGAAGGGCACCACCAGGAGUGGGGCAUGCGGCUCAAUUUGACUCAACACGGGGAAACUUACCCGGCCCGGACACUGGAAGGAUUGACAGAUUAAGAGCUCUUUCUUGAUUCAGCGGAGGGUGGUGCAUGGCCGUUCUUAGUUGGUGGAGCGAUUUGUCUGGUUAAUUCCGAUAACGAGCGAGACUCUAACCUACUAAAUAGGCGUUCCGAUCAUUUUAGUCGGACGUUCUUCUUAGAGGGACAGGCGGCGUUUAGCCGCACGAAACAGAGCAAUAACAGGUCUGGUAUGCCCUUGGAUGUUCGGGGCCGCACGCGCGCCACACUGAAGGAAUCAGCAUGUGCUUUCCCUGUCCGGUAGGACUGGGUAACCCUCUGAACCUCCUUCGUGAUAGGGAUAGGGGCUUGUAAUUAUUCCCCUUGAACGAGGAAUUCCCAGUAAGCACGAGUCAUCAGCUCGUGUUGAUUACGUCCCUGCCCUUUGUACACAUCGCCCGUCGCUACUACCGAUUGAAUGAUUUAGUGAGGUCUUCGGACUGGCGCUCGGAGUGGCUUUUGCUACGCCGAUGUGCCGGAAAGAUGAUCAAACUUGAUCAUUUAGAGGAAGUAAA
This 634-nucleotide ribosomal RNA is filed under the name Caponia sp. MA141. RNAcentral's name for it is "SSU rRNA". It matches the Rfam family "Eukaryotic small subunit ribosomal RNA", at positions 1132 to 1786 of the family's 1831-position model. Lineage: Eukaryota; Metazoa; Arthropoda; Arachnida; Araneae; Caponiidae. The record is from RNAcentral.